CUAGAGUACUGUAGAGGGGGGUAGAAUUUCAGGUGUAGCGGUGAAAUGCGUAGAGAUCUGAAGGAAUACCGGUGGCGAAGGCGGCCCCCUGGACAGAUACUGACACUCAGAUGCGAAAGCGUGGGGAGCAAACAGGAUUAGAUACCCUGGUAGUCCACGCCGUAAACGAUGUCUACUUGGAGGUUGUGGCCUUGAGCCGUGGCUUUCGGAGCUAACGCGUUAAGUAGACCGCCUGGGGAGUACGGUCGCAAGAUUAAAACUCAAAUGAAUUGACGGGGGCCCGCACAAGCGGUGGAGCAUGUGGUUUAAUUCGAUGCAACGCGAAGAACCUUACCUACUCUUGACAUCCAGAGAACUUUCCAGAGAUGGAUUGGUGCCUUCGGGAACUCUGAGACAGGUGCUGCAUGGCUGUCGUCAGCUCGUGUUGUGAAAUGUUGGGUUAAGUCCCGCAACGAGCGCAACCCUUAUCCUUGUUUGCCAGCGAGUAAUGUCGGGAACUCCAGGGAGACUGCCGGUGAUAAACCGGAGGAAGGUGGGGACGACGUCAAGUCAUCAUGGCCCUUACGAGUAGGGCUACACACGUGCUACAAUGGCGCAUACAGAGGGCGGCCAACUUGCGAAAGUGAGCGAAUCCCAAAAAGUGCGUCGUAGUCCGGAUUGGAGUCUGCAACUCGACUCCAUGAAGUCGGAAUCGCUAGUAAUCGUGGAUCAGAAUGCCACGGUGAAUACGUUCCCGGGCCUUGUACACACCGCCCGUCACACCAUGGGAGUGGGCUGCAAAAGAAGUAGGUAGUUUAACCUUCGGGGGGACGCUUACCACUUUGUGGUUCAUGACUGGGGUGAAGUCGUAACAAGGUAGCGCUAGGGGAACCUGGCGCUGGAUCACC
Molecule: ribosomal RNA, 887 nt
Filed under: Vibrio parahaemolyticus VP-48
Lineage: Bacteria; Pseudomonadati; Pseudomonadota; Gammaproteobacteria; Vibrionales; Vibrionaceae
Description: bacterial SSU rRNA
Rfam family: Bacterial small subunit ribosomal RNA
Source: RNAcentral